RNAcentral lists this ribosomal RNA (382 nucleotides) under uncultured bacterium. RNAcentral describes it as "bacterial SSU rRNA". It matches the Rfam family "Bacterial small subunit ribosomal RNA", at positions 30 to 414 of the family's 1533-position model. The record is from RNAcentral.
AUUGAACGCUGGCGGAAUGCUUUACACAUGCAAGUCGAGCGGCAGCGCGGGGCAACCUGGCGGCGAGCGGCGAACGGGUGAGUAAUGUAUCGGAACGUAUCCUUAAGUGGGGGACAACUAGUCGAAAGACUAGCUAAUACCGCAUACGAUCGAGAGAUGAAAGUGGGGGACCGCAAGGCCUCACGCUUUUGGAGCGGCCGAUAUCCGAUUAGCUUGUUGGUGAGGUAAAGGCUUACCAAGGCUAUGAUCGGUAGCUGGUCUGAGAGGAUGAUCAGCCACACUGGGACUGAGACACGGCCCAGACUCCUACGGGAGGCAGCAGUGGGGAAUUUUGGACAAUGGGCGCAAGCCUGAUCCAGCAAUGCCGCGUGCAGGAAGAAGG